RNAcentral lists this ribosomal RNA (301 nucleotides) under uncultured bacterium. RNAcentral describes it as "partial 16S ribosomal RNA". It matches the Rfam family "Bacterial small subunit ribosomal RNA", at positions 509 to 807 of the family's 1533-position model. The record is from RNAcentral.
CAGCAGCCGCGGUAAUACGUAGGGGGCAAGCGUUAUCCGGAAUUACUGGGUGCAAAGGGAGCGUAGACGGUUAGACAAGUCUGAAGUGAAAUGCCGGGGCUCAACCCCGGAGCUGCUUUGGGAACUGUAGAACUGGAGUGUCGGAGGGGUAAGCGGAAUUCCCAGUGUGGCAGUGAAAUGCGUAGAUAUUGGGAGGAACACCGGCGGCGAAGGCGGCUUACUGGACGACAACUGACGUUGAGGCUCGAAGGCGUGGGUAGCAGACAGGAUUAGAUACCCCGGUAGUCCCUGUCUCUUAUAC